GAUGGCUGGGAAGGUGGCGCUGCUCCUGUGGGCCCAGAUCCUAGGCCUUGCUGGUGCCCAGACCACCCAGCUCCUGGUGGAGCCCCCCUGGAGGCCGGCGGUGCCGUGGGACUGGGUGACACUGACCUGCCAGGGCUCGGGGACUGCUGGUGACACC
This is a long non-coding RNA of Melospiza melodia melodia, 157 nucleotides long. RefSeq lists it as uncharacterized. The transcript is spliced from 3 exons. The record is from RefSeq and is a predicted model, not a curated record. NCBI's taxonomy places the organism in Eukaryota, Metazoa, Chordata, Aves, Passeriformes, Passerellidae.